Molecule: transfer RNA, 68 nt
Filed under: Actinomycetota bacterium
Lineage: Bacteria; Bacillati; Actinomycetota
Description: tRNA-Val
Source: RNAcentral
GCCGCGCGUCGCCAGCAACGCACCAGCUCGACAAGCUGGCGGUCGCCGGCUCGAGUCCGGUAUGGCCA